RNAcentral lists this ribosomal RNA (253 nucleotides) under uncultured bacterium. RNAcentral describes it as "partial 16S ribosomal RNA". It matches the Rfam family "Bacterial small subunit ribosomal RNA", at positions 524 to 776 of the family's 1533-position model. The record is from RNAcentral.
UACGAAAGGGGCUAGCGUUGUUCGGAAUUACUGGGCGUAAAGCGCACGUAGGCGGCCUUGUAAGUUGGGGGUGAAAUCCCAGGGCUCAACCCUGGAACUGCCUCCAAAACUACAAAGCUCGAGGAUGUGAGAGGAGAGUGGAAUUCCGAGUGUAGAGGUGAAAUUCGUAGAUAUUCGGAAGAACACCAGUGGCGAAGGCGACUCUCUGGCACAUUUCUGACGCUGAGGUGCGAAAGCGUGGGGAGCAAACAGG